GAUGAACGCUGGCGACGUGCCUAAUACAUGCAAGUAGAACGCUGAAGCUUGGUGCUUGCACCGAGCGGAUGAGUUGCGAACGGGUGAGUAACGCGUAGGUAACCUGCCUCUUAGCGGGGGAUAACUAUUGGAAACGAUAGCUAAUACCGCAUAAAAGUCGAUAUCGCAUGAUAUUGAUUUGAAAGGUGCAAUUGCAUCACUAAGAGAUGGACCUGCGUUGUAUUAGCUAGUUGGUGAGGUAACGGCUCACCAAGGCGACGAUACAUAGCCGACCUGAGAGGGUGAUCGGCCACACUGGGACUGAGACACGGCCCAGACUCCUACGGGAGGCAGCAGUAGGGAAUCUUCGGCAAUAGGGGCAACCCUGACCGAGCAACGCCGCGUGAGUGAAGAAGGUUUUCGGAUCGUAAAGCUCUGUUGUAAGAGAAGAACGAGUGUGAGAGUGGAAAGUUCACACUGUGACGGUAACUUACCAGAAAGGGACGGCUAACUACGUG
This 497-nucleotide ribosomal RNA is filed under the name uncultured bacterium. RNAcentral's name for it is "partial 16S ribosomal RNA". It matches the Rfam family "Bacterial small subunit ribosomal RNA", at positions 28 to 507 of the family's 1533-position model. The record is from RNAcentral.